CUAAGUUUGAUGGCGACCGGCGCACGGGUGAGUAACACGUAUCCAACCUGCCGAUGACUCGGGGAUAGCCUUUCGAAAGAAAGAUUAAUACCGGAUGGCAUACGAAUAUCGCAUGAUAUUUUUAUUAAAGAAUUUCGGUUAUCGAUGGGGAUGCGUUCCAUUAGGUUGUUGGCGGGGUAACGGCCCACCAAGCCUUCGAUGGAUAGGGGUUCUGAGAGGAAGGUCCCCCACAUUGGAACUGAGACACGGUCCAAACUCCUACGGGAGGCAGCAUG
RNAcentral lists this ribosomal RNA (275 nucleotides) under uncultured bacterium. RNAcentral's name for it is "partial 16S ribosomal RNA". It matches the Rfam family "Bacterial small subunit ribosomal RNA", at positions 79 to 353 of the family's 1533-position model. The record is from RNAcentral.